AGGCAGUGUAGUUUUAGCUGG
RNAcentral lists this microRNA (21 nucleotides) under Xenopus tropicalis (tropical clawed frog). Its description in RNAcentral is "xtr-miR-449b-5p". Its record names the gene xtr-miR-449b-5p. The record is from miRBase by way of RNAcentral. Lineage: Eukaryota; Metazoa; Chordata; Amphibia; Anura; Pipidae.